RNAcentral lists this ribosomal RNA (492 nucleotides) under uncultured bacterium. RNAcentral describes it as "partial 16S ribosomal RNA". It matches the Rfam family "Bacterial small subunit ribosomal RNA", at positions 29 to 507 of the family's 1533-position model. The record is from RNAcentral.
AGUGAACGCUGGCGGUAGGCCUAAUACAUGCAAGUCGAACGGAAGCACAGUAAGAGCGUGCUCCUACGGGUGGCGGGGGGCGGGCGAGUGAGACAUAGAUAGGCUACUUCUUUUUCGGGGGGGAUAUCGGGGAGAAGCUGACGAUAAUACCUCAUACGAUCAACGGGAGGAAGCAAGAGAUCUUGGCACCUUGGCCGACACAUAGAGCCGAUGUCGCAUUAGCUAGUUGGCGGGGUAACGGCCCACCAAGGCAACGAUCCGUAGCUGGUCUGAGAGGAUGAUCAGCCACACUGGAACUGAGACACGGUCCAGACUCCUACGGGAGGCAGCAGUGGGGAAUCUUGCGCAAUGGGCGCAAGCCUGAUCGAGCCAUACCGCGUGAGUGAAGAAGGCCUUCGGGUUGUAAAGCCCUUUUGUUGGGAAAGAAAAGCAGCAUGUUAAUACCCCGCUGUUCUGACGGUACCCAAAGAGUAAGCACCGGCUAACUUCGUG